RNAcentral lists this ribosomal RNA (2904 nucleotides) under Escherichia coli. RNAcentral describes it as "23S ribosomal RNA". It matches the Rfam family "Bacterial large subunit ribosomal RNA". Lineage: Bacteria; Pseudomonadati; Pseudomonadota; Gammaproteobacteria; Enterobacterales; Enterobacteriaceae. The record is from RNAcentral.
GGUUAAGCGACUAAGCGUACACGGUGGAUGCCCUGGCAGUCAGAGGCGAUGAAGGACGUGCUAAUCUGCGAUAAGCGUCGGUGAGGUGAUAUGAACCGUUAUAACCGGCGAUUUCCGAAUGGGGAAACCCAGUGUGUUUCGACACACUAUCAUUAACUGAAUCCAUAGGUUAAUGAGGCGAACCGGGGGAACUGAAACAUCUAAGUACCCCGAGGAAAAGAAAUCAACCGAGAUUCCCCCAGUAGCGGCGAGCGAACGGGGAGGAGCCCAGAGCCUGAAUCAGUGUGUGUGUUAGUGGAAGCGUCUGGAAAGGCGCGCGAUACAGGGUGACAGCCCCGUACACAAAAAUGCACAUAUUGUGAGCUCGAUGAGUAGGGCGGGACACGUGGUAUCCUGUCUGAAUAUGGGGGGACCAUCCUCCAAGGCUAAAUACUCCUGACUGACCGAUAGUGAACCAGUACCGUGAGGGAAAGGCGAAAAGAACCCCGGCGAGGGGAGUGAAAAAGAACCUGAAACCGUGUACGUACAAGCAGUGGGAGCCUCUUUAUGGGGUGACUGCGUACCUUUUGUAUAAUGGGUCAGCGACUUAUAUUCUGUAGCAAGGUUAACCGAAUAGGGGAGCCGAAGGGAAACCGAGUCUUAACUGGGCGUUAAGUUGCAGGGUAUAGACCCGAAACCCGGUGAUCUAGCCAUGGGCAGGUUGAAGGUUGGGUAACACUAACUGGAGGACCGAACCGACUAAUGUUGAAAAAUUAGCGGAUGACUUGUGGCUGGGGGUGAAAGGCCAAUCAAACCGGGAGAUAGCUGGUUCUCCCCGAAAGCUAUUUAGGUAGCGCCUCGUGAAUUCAUCUCCGGGGGUAGAGCACUGUUUCGGCAAGGGGGUCAUCCCGACUUACCAACCCGAUGCAAACUGCGAAUACCGGAGAAUGUUAUCACGGGAGACACACGGCGGGUGCUAACGUCCGUCGUGAAGAGGGAAACAACCCAGACCGCCAGCUAAGGUCCCAAAGUCAUGGUUAAGUGGGAAACGAUGUGGGAAGGCCCAGACAGCCAGGAUGUUGGCUUAGAAGCAGCCAUCAUUUAAAGAAAGCGUAAUAGCUCACUGGUCGAGUCGGCCUGCGCGGAAGAUGUAACGGGGCUAAACCAUGCACCGAAGCUGCGGCAGCGACACUAUGUGUUGUUGGGUAGGGGAGCGUUCUGUAAGCCUGUGAAGGUGGCCUGUGAGGGUUGCUGGAGGUAUCAGAAGUGCGAAUGCUGACAUAAGUAACGAUAAAGCGGGUGAAAAGCCCGCUCGCCGGAAGACCAAGGGUUCCUGUCCAACGUUAAUCGGGGCAGGGUGAGUCGACCCCUAAGGCGAGGCCGAAAGGCGUAGUCGAUGGGAAACAGGUUAAUAUUCCUGUACUUGGUGUUACUGCGAAGGGGGGACGGAGAAGGCUAUGUUGGCCGGGCGACGGUUGUCCCGGUUUAAGCGUGUAGGCUGGUUUUCCAGGCAAAUCCGGAAAACCAAGGCUGAGGCGUGAUGACGAGGCACUACGGUGCUGAAGCGACAAAUGCCCUGCUUCCAGGAAAAGCCUCUAAGCAUCAGGUAACAUCAAAUCGUACCCCAAACCGACACAGGUGGUCAGGUAGAGAAUACCAAGGCGCUUGAGAGAACUCGGGUGAAGGAACUAGGCAAAAUGGUGCCGUAACUUCGGGAGAAGGCACGCUGAUAUGUAGGUGAAGCGACUUGCUCGUGGAGCUGAAAUCAGUCGAAGAUACCAGCUGGCUGCAACUGUUUAUUAAAAACACAGCACUGUGCAAACACGAAAGUGGACGUAUACGGUGUGACGCCUGCCCGGUGCCGGAAGGUUAAUUGAUGGGGUUAGCGGUAACGCGAAGCUCUUGAUCGAAGCCCCGGUAAACGGCGGCCGUAACUAUAACGGUCCUAAGGUAGCGAAAUUCCUUGUCGGGUAAGUUCCGACCUGCACGAAUGGCGUAAUGAUGGCCAGGCUGUCUCCACCCGAGACUCAGUGAAAUUGAACUCGCUGUGAAGAUGCAGUGUACCCGCGGCAAGACGGAAAGACCCCGUGAACCUUUACUAUAGCUUGACACUGAACAUUGAGCCUUGAUGUGUAGGAUAGGUGGGAGGCUUUGAAGUGUGGACGCCAGUCUGCAUGGAGCCGACCUUGAAAUACCACCCUUUAAUGUUUGAUGUUCUAACGUUGGCCCGUAAUCCGGGUUGCGGACAGUGUCUGGUGGGUAGUUUGACUGGGGCGGUCUCCUCCUAAAGAGUAACGGAGGAGCACGAAGGUUGGCUAAUCCUGGUCGGACAUCAGGAGGUUAGUGCAAUGGCAUAAGCCAGCUUGAUUGCGAGCGUGACGGCGCGAGCAGGUGCGAAAGCAGGUCAUAGUGAUCCGGUGGUUCUGAAUGGAAGGGCCAUCGCUCAACGGAUAAAAGGUACUCCGGGGAUAACAGGCUGAUACCGCCCAAGAGUUCAUAUCGACGGCGGUGUUUGGCACCUCGAUGUCGGCUCAUCACAUCCUGGGGCUGAAGUAGGUCCCAAGGGUAUGGCUGUUCGCCAUUUAAAGUGGUACGCGAGCUGGGUUUAGAACGUCGUGAGACAGUUCGGUCCCUAUCUGCCGUGGGCGCUGGAGAACUGAGGGGGGCUGCUCCUAGUACGAGAGGACCGGAGUGGACGCAUCACUGGUGUUCGGGUUGUCAUGCCAAUGGCACUGCCCGGUAGCUAAAUGCGGAAGAGAUAAGUGCUGAAAGCAUCUAAGCACGAAACUUGCCCCGAGAUGAGUUCUCCCUGAGACUUAGAGUCUCCUGAAGGAACGUUGAAGACGACGACGUUGAUAGGCCGGGUGUGUAAGCGCAGCGAUGCGUUGAGCUAACCGGUACUAAUGAACCGUGAGGCUUAACCUU